CGGGUGGGUUCUGGGUUGUCUCGGCGUGGUGAGGGGUGGAGCUGGAGAGAGAGAGGGGCGCUGGGAAGAGGCGGCGGCGGUGGGUGCGGCCACUAAGGCCGUCGAAAGCCGCUAAGGCCGACGACGGCUGCUGCGGUUCGUGUGAGCGUACUAGCGGAGGCAGGCGAGGCAGAAGGGAAGGCUCGUCUAAGUAGCGAGCGCAGGAGAUGGCCAGUGGGCGCUGGCAGGGGAUUCGAUCCCAAAGCCGGUGGCGCAGCGGCCGCACCGAGGCCGCCGAGUCUAGCUCGUGCGGUUACAGCGGCAGCAAAGCGAACGCGACCUUGUUGUUUCCCUUCCGGUACCUGCUGCGGCGAGGUCGGGAAGAGGCUGCGGUAGUUCGUCAUCGUCGUUGAGCUACGUCCCUGUUCCCUCUCCUCCUCAGGACGAAGGGGCCGCACGUAGGAGAGAGAGCCUUGCUGUGGGUUGGAGUUCGCUCUCGUCCGUAGGAGGCACCUACUACUGCUGUUGGUCCCGCAGGUGGCGGUGCUGCUGUGGGGCGUGUACCAGGUUGAGCCGAUGUUGGAGGAGAUGGCGCGCUGACGCCGGCGCCAGCACAAGCCGUAGCUGAUGUUGGAGGAGAGGUCUAGAAACCAAGUAAUAUGACUGACGUACGGUGGAGACAGUAGCGACGGGGUAGAGGGCGUGGUAGCCGUGGCGGGGAGGCGGAAGAGGAAACUACGACAUCACCUAAGAAUCUUACUUUUACAACACAUGUAGUUUUUAUAAAAUACCAGACACAAACGUUUUGGUACCAACAACUUAGUACAGAAUAUUAACAUAACCUUUAACGAUCGGAAAAACCGAUCAUAAAAAAAUCACCUAAGAAUCUUACUUUUACAACACAUGUAGUUUUUAUAAAAUACCGUA
Molecule: ribosomal RNA, 906 nt
Filed under: Triticum aestivum (bread wheat)
Lineage: Eukaryota; Viridiplantae; Streptophyta; Magnoliopsida; Poales; Poaceae
Description: partial small subunit ribosomal RNA
Source: RNAcentral